RNAcentral lists this ribosomal RNA (253 nucleotides) under uncultured bacterium. RNAcentral's name for it is "partial 16S ribosomal RNA". It matches the Rfam family "Bacterial small subunit ribosomal RNA", at positions 524 to 776 of the family's 1533-position model. The record is from RNAcentral.
UACAGAGGUGGCAAGCGUUGUUCGGAAUUACUGGGCGUAAAGGGCGCGUAGGCGGCCUACUAAGUCAGACGUGAAAUCCCCCGGCUUAACCUGGGAACUGCAUCCGAUACUGGAGGGCUUGAGUUUGGGAGAGGGAUGCGGAAUUCCAGGUGUAGCGGUGAAAUGCGUAGAUAUCUGGAGGAACACCGGUGGCGAAGGCGGCAUCCUGGACCAACACUGACGCUGAGGAGCGAAAGCCAGGGGAGCAAACGGG